UACAGAGGGGGCAAGCGUUAUUCGGAAUUAUUGGGCGUAAAGGGCGCGUAGGCGGCCUGGCAAGUGGAAGGUGAAAUCCCUCGGCUUAACCGAGGAACUGCCCUCCAAACUGCUUGGCUUGAGUCUGGGAGAGGUGAGUGGAAUUCCCAGUGUAGCGGUGAAAUGCGUAGAUAUUGGGAGGAACACCAGUGGCGAAGGCGGCUCACUGGACCGGAACUGACGCUGAGGCGCGAAAGCGUGGGGAGCAAACGGG
This 253-nucleotide ribosomal RNA is filed under the name uncultured bacterium. RNAcentral describes it as "partial 16S ribosomal RNA". It matches the Rfam family "Bacterial small subunit ribosomal RNA", at positions 524 to 776 of the family's 1533-position model. The record is from RNAcentral.